UGCAAGUCGAGCGGAACGAGUUAUCUGAACCUUCGGGGAACGAUAACGGCGUCGAGCGGCGGACGGGUGAGUAAUGCCUAGGAAAUUGCCCUGAUGUGGGGGAUAACCAUUGGAAACGAUGGCUAAUACCGCAUGAUGCCUACGGGCCAAAGAGGGGGACCUUCGGGCCUCUCGCGUCAGGAUAUGCCUAGGUGGGAUUAGCUAGUUGGUGAGGUAAGGGCUCACCAAGGCGACGAUCCCUAGCUGGUCUGAGAGGAUGAUCAGCCACACUGGAACUGAGACACGGUCCAGACUCCUACGGGAGGCAGCAGUGGGGAAUAUUGCACAAUGGGCGCAAGCCUGAUGCAGCCAUGCCGCGUGUAUGAAGAAGGCCUUCGGGUUGUAAAGUACUUUCAGUCGUGAGGAAGGCGGCGUCGUUAAUAGCGGCGUUGUUUGACGUUAGCGACAGAAGAAGCACCGGCUAACUCCGUGCCAGCAGCCGCGGUAAUACGGAGGGUGCGAGCGUUAAUCGGAAUUACUGGGCGUAAAGCGCAUGCAGGUGGUUUGUUAAGUCAGAUGUGAAAGCCCGGGGCUCAACCUCGGAAUAGCAUUUGAAACUGGCAGACUAGAGUACUGUAGAGGGGGGUAGAAUUUCAGGUGUAGCGGUGAAAUGCGUAGAGAUCUGAAGGAAUACCGGUGGCGAAGGCGGCCCCCUGGACAGAUACUGACACUCAGAUGCGAAAGCGUGGGGAG
RNAcentral lists this ribosomal RNA (732 nucleotides) under Vibrio sp. RNAcentral's name for it is "bacterial SSU rRNA". It matches the Rfam family "Bacterial small subunit ribosomal RNA", at positions 56 to 768 of the family's 1533-position model. Lineage: Bacteria; Pseudomonadati; Pseudomonadota; Gammaproteobacteria; Vibrionales; Vibrionaceae. The record is from RNAcentral.